This 555-nucleotide ribosomal RNA is filed under the name Hansenula anomala. Its description in RNAcentral is "eukaryotic LSU rRNA". It matches the Rfam family "Eukaryotic large subunit ribosomal RNA", at positions 85 to 654 of the family's 3401-position model. The record is from RNAcentral. Lineage: Eukaryota; Fungi; Ascomycota; Saccharomycetes; Phaffomycetales; Wickerhamomycetaceae.
UACGGCGAGUGAGCGGCAAAAGCUCAAAUUUGAAAUCUAGCACCUUCGGUGUUCGAGUUGUAAUUUGAAGAUGGUAACCUUGGGUUUGGCUCUUGUCUAUGUUCCUUGGAACAGGACGUCAUAGAGGGUGAGAAUCCCGUCUGAUGAGAUGCCCAUUCCUAUGUAAGGUGCUAUCGAAGAGUCGAGUUGUUUGGGAAUGCAGCUCUAAGUGGGUGGUAAAUUCCAUCUAAAGCUAAAUAUUGGCGAGAGACCGAUAGCGAACAAGUACAGUGAUGGAAAGAUGAAAAGAACUUUGAAAAGAGAGUGAAAAAGUACGUGAAAUUGUUGAAAGGGAAGGGCAUUAGAUCAGACUUGGUGUUUUACGAUUAUCUUCUCUUCUUGAGUUGUGCACUCGUAUUUCACUGGGCCAGCAUCGAUUCGGAUGGCAAGAUAAUGGCAGUUGAAUGUGGCUUCACUUCGGUGGAGUGUUAUAGCUUCUGCUGAUAUUGCCUGUCUGGAUCGAGGGCUGCGUCUUUUGACUAGGAUGCUGGCGUAAUGAUCUAAUGCCGCCCGUCU